GCCGAAGUGGCGGAACUGGCAGACGCGCUGGAUUCAGGGUCCAGUGCCCGCAAGGGCGUCGGGGUUCAAAUCCCCGCUUCGGCACCA
RNAcentral lists this transfer RNA (87 nucleotides) under Planctomycetota bacterium. Its description in RNAcentral is "tRNA-Leu". It matches the Rfam family "tRNA". From Rfam's summary of the family: Transfer RNA (tRNA) molecules are approximately 80 nucleotides in length. Their secondary structure includes four short double-helical elements and three loops (D, anti-codon, and T loops). The record is from RNAcentral. Lineage: Bacteria; Pseudomonadati; Planctomycetota.